GAUGAACGCUGGCGGCGUGCCUAAUACAUGCAAGUCGAGCGAACAGACGAGGAGCUUGCUCCUCUGACGUUAGCGGCGGACGGGUGAGUAACACGUGGAUAACCUACCUAUAAGACUGGGAUAACUUCGGGAAACCGGAGCUAAUACCGGAUAAUAUAUUGAACCGCAUGGUUCAAUAGUGAAAGACGGUUUUGCUGUCACUUAUAGAUGGAUCCGCGCCGCAUUAGCUAGUUGGUAAGGUAACGGCUUACCAAGGCAACGAUGCGUAGCCGACCUGAGAGGGGGCUCGGCCACCCUAGAACGGAGACCCGGCCCAGCCCCCUACGGGGGCCAGCAGUAGGAAAUCGUCCGAAAUGGGCAAAAGCUUGGCGGCGCACCCCCGCGUGGGUGAUGAAGUUCUUCGGUUCGAAAACUUCUUUUAUUAGGGAAAAACAAAUGUGUAAGAAACUUUCCACUUUUAGACGGUCCCAAAACAAAAAGCCGCGUCUAUCUGCG
Molecule: ribosomal RNA, 495 nt
Filed under: uncultured bacterium
Lineage: Bacteria
Description: partial 16S ribosomal RNA
Rfam family: Bacterial small subunit ribosomal RNA
Source: RNAcentral